GACGAAUCCGCGCUCCCCCAGGCUGUCGCGCGAGCUCCCCGGAAGCUCCCACCUGAGCGGCGCAUCCUCAGGGCCUGGGCCUGGCCUCCUUGCCUGUGAGAUGGCACUGUGACGGUGCCCACCUCGUGGGGUGUGUGAGGGCCGAGUGAAAUCGUGCAUUUGCGGUCUGAAAUGCAGAAGACAGAAGAUGAGCUCUGGCUCUUCACCUGCAUGGCUGGUGGCAGUGUGGCCUCAGUCUUCUGGGGCUUGAGGAGCUCUGACACUGGUCAGGUCAGAGGUGCCCACUCACCCACUGCUGCCCGUAGCUGUCUUCCACAUCGUUGAUCCAGCGGUCAUCCCAGUCCACUCGGAGGCCCAACAGGUGAAUUGGGAGGAAGCCGUUCUCAGCCAGAAUCACAAACUUGCCCUCGCCCUCCGUGUACCCAUCGAUCUUCAGACCUGGUACUUGUUGGUGGAGUUGAAGGGUAUCUCGACGAUUUUGGCGUAUCUUUCUCUCAUCUCCUUCACGGAACCACAGCACAGCUCUAUGCACUUUAAGAGUGCUGACUCAGAGGCAUCUCCU
This 562-nucleotide long non-coding RNA is filed under the name Homo sapiens (human). Its description in RNAcentral is "non-protein coding ATP1A1-AS1:1". Lineage: Eukaryota; Metazoa; Chordata; Mammalia; Primates; Hominidae. The record is from RNAcentral.